Long non-coding RNA from Odocoileus virginianus texanus, 1924 nucleotides. RefSeq lists it as uncharacterized. The record is from RefSeq and is a predicted model, not a curated record. NCBI's taxonomy places the organism in Eukaryota, Metazoa, Chordata, Mammalia, Artiodactyla, Cervidae.
UCCCCGUAAUGACUUAUUUUUAUUAUUCAAAAUAAUAAUUUGUCUAUAUGUGCCAGGUGAUUGAAUUGCAUAUAAUCUUUUGAAGAAUCUGAGCGACUUGUAGGCAGGUCCUCUGCCCACCUGUCUGGUUUUCUUUUACAAACAUCGAAUCACCUCCAACUAGUGGGACCUGUAUGAGGUGCAGGGGACACGGUGCUGAAUCAGACAUGAUACAUGGUCCCCACCCUCAAGAAGCUCCCAGUCCAGUGGGGGAGCCAGGCAUAGAGAGAUACUUCUGCUGUUGUGCGCUGAGUGCUGCAAGGCUUGUGGGGGCCCGAGGAGGGACAUCGUACCCAGACAGGGUGCAGGGAGGGGUUGGUCAGGGAAGGCUGCCUGGAACAAUGGUCCUGACUCAUAAGGAGGUUGUGAAAUCAAUUUAGUGCAUAGCAACCAGCAUUAAAAAAAAAAAACUGAACAGAAAAUAUCACUGCGCAUCUCACGUAUAAAGAAUACAUAUGUGAGUGUGAGUUUGUGUGCGUUCUGGAUCAUGAUGCAAAUCACUCCUGGAGCGAGCCAGGGUCCAAAGGUUUGAGAGCCACAGUCGGAGAGAAUUCUUGCCUGCCGUGCUCCCCAAAGCCUGGUGCACUGAAGCGCUCAAAGAUUUUUGGAUGAAUGGGAGGAGGGAUUUAAAUUCUAACCUCAAUUCAGCAGUUGGGACCGUCCUUUCCAGUUAAGAAAGACACACUCAUGGGACUUCCCUGGCAAUUCAGUGCUUAAAGAUUCCACUUUCCAAUGUAGGGGGGUGUAGGUUCGAUCCCUGGUCAGGGGACUAGGGUCCCGCAUGCCAUGGGGUGUGGUCAAAAAUUAAAAGAAAAAGAAGUGCACACUGAGGAACCCAAGUCUAGCAAACCUGGAUCUGUCACAUGUGCUCACAGCCUAGCAGUCGGCAGCUCAGGGUUUCCUCUCUGCCUGCGUAGUAGUGGUGGGGAAGUCAGCCCAAGAUGGGGGAGGAGCAAGGCAGUUCAGAGCUGCCUGGAGGAGAGCUGGUCCCCCAGCCUGUGACCGCCUAGGAAACAGUGUCCUCAGGUCUGACCCACCCAGGUGGCAUGUGCCUCAUAAUAGCAGUGGCUCAGGCCACUGUGUUUACUCUGGGAUGGCCUCAGUCAUGCAUUGCAGGCCCAUGUGGCCAGCAGUCCUGUGCCUUCAGAAUGCCAACAGGAAGCACCGUUUAAGGGGCAGAUUGGACUCAAAGGAGAAAGGGCCCCGGGGGGAAGCAGAAGAUGGGCAGAAGGUCACCGCAGUCCCUGGCAGGGUGAGGCUUCCCAUGGGUGGCGGUGGUUCAGUCGCUAAGUCAUGCCUGACUCUUGUGACCCCACGGACUGUAGCCUGCCAGGCUCCUCUGUCCCUGGGACUUUUCCAGGUUUUUGUUCUCAAGAAGAAAUGGCCUCACCAAGUGAUACAACAAUGGUUCAACUGAAUUGGAAGUGGGAACAGCCACUUGGCUGCUUGGCUCCUAAUGCCACUGAAACAACAGGCAAAGAAGGGGAAUACAUUUCUGGCUGGAGUGAUGGAUCUCGAUUGCCAGGGGGAACUGGGUUGCUGCUAUACAGUUGGGGAAAGGGGAUGCUCUAUGGAACCCAAGGGGGUUCUCUAGGGCAAUUCUUAGUUCUUCCACUGCCAAUAGUAAAAAUGAGUGAAAACUAAACCAACCAACUAAACAAGCAAAAAAGGCAGGACCAGUAGGGAUUCAGAACCCUCAAGAAUGAAGGUUUGGGUUGCCCUACCAGUUAGAACACAGAUCGACUGAAAUGCGGGCGGAAAGCAAAUGGAAUGUGGAAUUUAUAAUGAAAGAAGGAAUUUGUAAAUAUAAACUACAGCCUCAUGACCAGUUGAGCUUCCCAGGUGACACUAGUGGUAAAGAACCCACCUGCUUGUCAAUGCCUGA